GAUGAACGCUGGCGGCGUGCCUAAUACAUGCAAGUCGAGCGAACGGACGAGAAGCUUGCUCCUCUGACGUUAGCGGCGGACGGGUGAGUAACACGUGGAUAACCUACCUAUAAGACUGGGAUAACUUCGGGAAACCGGAGCUAAUACCGGAUAAUAUAUUGAACCGCAUGGUUCAAUAGUGAAAGACGGUCUUGCUGUCACUUAUAGAUGGAUCCGCGCUGCAUUAGCUAGUUGGUAAGGUAACGGCUUACCAAGGCAACGAUGCAUAGCCGACCUGAGAGGGUGAUCGGCCACACUGGAACUGAGACACGGUCCAGACUCCUACGGGAGGCAGCAGUAGGGAAUCUUCCGCAAUGGGCGAAAGCCUGACGGAGCAACGCCGCGUGAGUGAUGAAGGUCUUCGGAUCGUAAAACUCUGUUAUUAGGGAAGAACAAAUGUGUAAGUAACUAUGCACGUCUUGACGGUACCUAAUCAGAAAGCCACGGCUAACUACGUG
This 497-nucleotide ribosomal RNA is filed under the name uncultured bacterium. RNAcentral describes it as "partial 16S ribosomal RNA". It matches the Rfam family "Bacterial small subunit ribosomal RNA", at positions 28 to 507 of the family's 1533-position model. The record is from RNAcentral.